CUUCGGUCGUAGACGCUGCCGCUCCUCCCCCUCUCUUCCUCCUCGCCAUGACCCACGACCUCUCUCCCUCCCUCCCGAUCUGAUCUCCUUUUCCCCCUGGGUAAGCCACCGCACUCUCUCCCUCCCUCCCGAUCCGUCCGUCCGCGACCUGCGUUGACUCGACCCGCUUCCGCUUCUACCAGGAGGCCAGCCACAUCGGCCGCCUCGCCACCGCCGGCGCCGACCUCGACCUCGACACCGUCACCACCAUGGAGGAGGAGGCGAGGGGGGUGGGGAAGCUGCGGCACUGGAGGCUGGCCAACCUUAUUGGCUACUGCUACAACGGCGACGAGCGGCUGCUUGUCGCCGAGUUCAUGCCCAACGAUACCCUCGCCAAGCACCUGUUCCACUGACUCUUCUUGCUGGUUAUUUGGAGGUCGGAGAGUCUGCAGCAGAGGGAGCCUCUAGGGAAACUUUGGAAGAAGCUUGUGCAGAUGUAGAGAUAGUCUCUCCUUUUGCUCAGUUGGGCAUUCCACUGAUUGUGCGUUGUAAUAUAAUACGUGUUUUGUUUAAAUAAAAUAAAGUGACAACUUGGCCUU
Molecule: long non-coding RNA, 578 nt
Organism: Lolium rigidum
Lineage: Eukaryota; Viridiplantae; Streptophyta; Magnoliopsida; Poales; Poaceae
Exons: 3
Source: RefSeq, a predicted model, not a curated record